GGCGCGGGUGGGAUAGUGGUGAGCCCCCCACCUCACCGCUGAUAACCCGCGCCAUAAGGAGCCGGCUCCAGUAGAUUAACAAAAUUUACAGUUAAACACCCCUCCCCCACACAGAUUUUUUAUUUAC
RNAcentral lists this unclassified non-coding RNA (127 nucleotides) under Methanocaldococcus jannaschii. RNAcentral's name for it is "HgcD". The record is from RNAcentral. Lineage: Archaea; Methanobacteriati; Methanobacteriota; Methanococci; Methanococcales; Methanocaldococcaceae.